GACAAUUCCUACGGGGAGGCAGCAGUAGGGAAUCUUCCACAAUGGGCGCAAGCCUGAUGGAGCAACACCGCGUGAGUGAAGAAGGGUUUCGGCUCGUAAAGCUCUGUUGUUGGAGAAGAACGUGCGUGAGAGUAACUGUUCACGCAGUGACGGUAUCCAACCAGAAAGUCACGGCUAACUACGUGCCAGCAGCCGCGGUAAUACGUAGGUGGCAAGCGUUAUCCGGAUUUAUUGGGCGUAAAGCGAGCGCAGGCGGUUGCUUAGGUCUGAUGUGAAAGCCUUCGGCUUAACCGAAGAAGUGCAUCGGAAACCGGGCGACUUGAGUGCAGAAGAGGACAGUGGAACUCCAUGUGUAGCGGUGGAAUGCGUAGAUAUAUGGAAGAACACCAGUGGCGAAGGCGGCUGUCUGGUCUGCAACUGACGCUGAGGCUCGAAAGCAUGGGUAGCGAACAGGAUUAGAUACCCUGGUAGUCCAUGCCGUAAACGAUGAGUGCUAGGUGUUGGAGGGUUUCCGCCCUUCAGUGCCGGAGCUAACGCAUUAAGCACUCCGCCGGGGGAGAAACCCCA
Molecule: ribosomal RNA, 567 nt
Filed under: Limosilactobacillus reuteri
Lineage: Bacteria; Bacillati; Bacillota; Bacilli; Lactobacillales; Lactobacillaceae
Description: bacterial SSU rRNA
Rfam family: Bacterial small subunit ribosomal RNA
Source: RNAcentral